This 759-nucleotide ribosomal RNA is filed under the name uncultured archaeon. RNAcentral's name for it is "bacterial SSU rRNA". It matches the Rfam family "Archaeal small subunit ribosomal RNA", at positions 113 to 879 of the family's 1478-position model. The record is from RNAcentral.
CCUGGUUGGGAUGGAACCCCGGGAACUGGGGAUAAUACCCCAUAGACUAUGAAUGCUGGAAUGCUUUGUAGUUGAAAGGUCCGCCGCCUCAGGAUGGGUCUGCGGCCGAUUAGGUUGUUGUUGGGGUAACGGCCCAACAAGCCUUUGAUCGGUACGGGUUGUGGGAGCAAGAGCCCGGAGAUGGAUUCUGAGACACGAAUCCAGGCCCUACGGGGCGCAGCAGGCGCGAAAACUUUACAAUGCGAGAAAUCGUGAUAAGGGAACCCCGAGUGCCCGUAAAUCCGGGCUGUCCACCAGUGUAAAUAACUGGUGAAGAAAGGGCCGGGCAAGACCGGUGCCAGCCGCCGCGGUAAUACCGGCGGCUCGAGUGGUGGCCGCUAUUACUGGGCUUAAAGCGUUCGUAGCUGGGCUGUUAAGUCCCCUGGGAAAUCCACCGGCUCAACCGAUGGGCGUUCAGGGGAUACUGGCAGCCUAGGGACCGGGAGAGGUGAGGGGUACUCCAGGGGUAGGAGUGAAAUCCUGUAAUCCUUGGGGGACCACCUGUGGCGAAGGCGUCUCACUAGAACGGCUCCGACAGUGAGGAACGAAAGCUGGGGGAGCAAACCGGAUUAGAUACCCGGGUAGUCCCAGCUGUAAACGAUGCGCGUUAGGUGUAUCGGUGACCACGAGUCACCGAGGUGCCGAAGAGAAAUCGUGAAACGUGCCGCCUGGGAAGUACGGUCGCAAGGCUGAAACUUAAAGGAAUUGGCGGGGGAGCAC